Xylariaceae sp. FL0804 is the source of this 155-nucleotide non-coding RNA. The record is from the annotation of a GenBank genome assembly. Lineage: Eukaryota; Fungi; Ascomycota; Sordariomycetes; Xylariales; Xylariaceae.
GCUAUCAUGGCCGAGUGGUAAGAAACCCGCCUUCGUGCACACGCGCGCCAAUAUGCUAACAACUGCAACAGGUUAAGGCGGCAGAUUUAAGUGCGCUUCGUGUGCUAAAAACUCUGCUGACGAGAGUCGCGCAGGUUCGAACCCUGCUGAUAGCA